This 77-nucleotide transfer RNA is filed under the name Oculatellaceae cyanobacterium Prado106. RNAcentral's name for it is "tRNA-Glu". It matches the Rfam family "tRNA". From Rfam's summary of the family: Transfer RNA (tRNA) molecules are approximately 80 nucleotides in length. Their secondary structure includes four short double-helical elements and three loops (D, anti-codon, and T loops). Further hydrogen bonds mediate the characteristic L-shaped molecular structure. tRNAs have two regions of fundamental functional importance: the anti-codon, which is responsible for specific mRNA codon recognition, and the 3' end, to which the tRNAs corresponding amino acid is attached (by aminoacyl-tRNA synthetases). tRNAs cope with the degeneracy of the genetic code in two manners: having more than one tRNA (with a specific anti-codon) for a particular amino acid; and 'wobble' base-pairing, i.e. permitting non-standard base-pairing at the 3rd anti-codon position. Lineage: Bacteria; Bacillati; Cyanobacteriota; Cyanophyceae; Oculatellales; Oculatellaceae. The record is from RNAcentral.
GGUGCCGUAGGCAAAUCGGUAAAGCCGCAAGUCUUUCAAACUUGUGUUUGCGGGUUCGAUUCCCGUCGGCACUGCCA